AUGCCUCCGCUUGCCAUGGCUGCAGCAUGUAGCUUGAACACGGACGGGUUCCAGCGCGCGGUCAGCCUGGUUUUGCGGCAUCCUCGGUGUUCCCACCAUGUCCACUCGGUUGAAGCAACAAAAAUUCUCUGUUCCGGCACAAUUAAACGAUGGUUUCAGACUUCCAGCAAAAAAUUCAGCAGCAAAAAACCAUGGCUCGCCAACGCUCACCCCUCGCCAGUUCUACCUCCCCUCCCCUCGCCAACAACGGUAGCAGCAAUUUUUUUGUGUUGGUUCCAGCAAAAACAAAUACAGUGGUAG
RNAcentral lists this ribosomal RNA (300 nucleotides) under Triticum aestivum (bread wheat). RNAcentral describes it as "partial small subunit ribosomal RNA". The record is from RNAcentral. Lineage: Eukaryota; Viridiplantae; Streptophyta; Magnoliopsida; Poales; Poaceae.